Molecule: ribosomal RNA, 487 nt
Filed under: uncultured bacterium
Lineage: Bacteria
Description: bacterial SSU rRNA
Rfam family: Bacterial small subunit ribosomal RNA
Source: RNAcentral
GACGAACGCUGGCGGCGUGCUUAACACAUGCAAGUCGAACGGAGCACCCUUGAAUGAGGUUUCGGCCAAAGGAAAGGAAUGCUUAGUGGCGGACUGGUGAGUAACGCGUGAGGAACCUGCCUUUCAGAGGGGGACAACAGCUGGAAACGGCUGCUAAUACCGCAUGACGCAUUCGGAUGGCAUCAUCUGAAUGCCAAAGAUUUAUCGCUGAAAGAUGGCCUCGCGUCUGAUUAGCUAGUUGGUGAGGUAACGGCCCACCAAGGCGACGAUCAGUAGCCGGACUGAGAGGUUGACCGGCCACAUUGGGACUGAGAUACGGCCCAGACUCCUACGGGAGGCAGCAGUGGGGAAUAUUGGGCAAUGGGCGCAAGCCUGACCCAGCAACGCCGCGUGAAGGAAGAAGGCUUUCGGGUGUAAACUUCUUUUAAGAGGGAAGAGCAGAAGACUGUACCUCUAGAAUAAGCCACGGCUAACUACGUGCCAGCAG